Silurus meridionalis is the source of this 550-nucleotide long non-coding RNA. RefSeq lists it as uncharacterized. Lineage: Eukaryota; Metazoa; Chordata; Actinopteri; Siluriformes; Siluridae. The record is from RefSeq and is a predicted model, not a curated record. The transcript is spliced from 3 exons.
CAGGCUGUAUUUCAGCCCAUGGCAAAGGAUUUGAAUUGCUGAACAGUCCUUUUCAGAUGCCAAUGGAGAGAAGAGUGCAUUUGUUAGGUAGAAAUGCCCUAAUCAGCAUGGUGUAUGACUUCUGACUCAUAACUGUUCCUCGGACUUCGCUACAUCACUCUAGUGCGUAAAUGAAUUUGAAUAUUCAGUUCUAGUGGGUCCUGUUGUACAUCAGAGACUUUCAAAGCCAGAUGAAAGAACUGGAUGGAUGUCAGCUGCUUCCUGUAGAUUAACUCAUGAUUAGGUGACUGACAGCAUGAAAGAGCCUGCCAUCUUGCCCCAUUUAUCCAAACUGAGAGUCAGAGGUGAUUCAGCACAUGCAUGUACAUAGAAAUGAUAAAAGGGCACAUUAUAUGCCAGCUGUCUCCCAAGACUGAUUUAAUUAAAUCAUAAACAUGUCAUGUCCUGACAUUUAUGUCUAGUUGUGUUGCAAUGUCAUGUUAUGCUACAAUUACCAAUAAUUCAUGAUAUAUCGCCUCAGUGAUGCAGGUUCUUCAGGGGUUCUUGGGAU